CCAACAUUCCAAGUUGUUAGGGAGAAUGAAAGAUUCUUAAAGGAAACAGAAGCAAGCUUCAGUGGGGGAGAAAAGUAUGUCUGUGGGGCAGAUAGAAAGUAGAAGAGGGGAAAUGACCUUUUUCAAGGUUAUGAAAUGCAGAAGUGUUACAUAGAGGAGAAAGAGAAGGAAAAGAACAGCUCUACAAUUAGAACUCAAAGACAGAUUUGAGACUCUUCCUGAGGAGGAAAGAUCUGGAUACUUUGAGAAGGAAACCACUUGUCUUCCAAAGAGUAAUAGAAAUCGAGGCAGAGAAGUUAUCAGGUGAACAACGUAGUAAGGGGCAGAGGAAGAAGCAAUAAGGGGGACAGAGGUUAAUAUGGCUAUUUGUUGACAUUGUAACUAUUCAGAGAUCUGUUUGUCUUCCUGGAGCAUAUAUUCUGGACAUAACAGAGAAACCUCCCAAGACUUACCAAAAUGGAGGACAAUUCCCCACUUCUGGUGAUUUUCAUGUGGCCAUACAGAACACUUGCAAAAGGAACUCAAAAAUAUUGACAACAAUUAUGAAAUCUCGAGGAAGAAACUGAAGACUAUGGGAUCACAAGUUGUAUUUUCUUCACUGUUGUCCAUGAAAGGCAAAGGGUACAGAAGAGAAAAGUUAAUUUGGAAAGAGAAGAGCUGGCUAAGAAGCUGAUGUCUGAGAAUGAGAUUUGGAUAUCUGGAUCCUGAUUUACAAUAUAGGAUUGACAAAUGUCUAGUCAGGUAUAUGCCACAAAAGCUGGUCAGAAUGUACUUGCCAGAUGUCUUCCGUAGCUAAUCAAAAGGGCUUUCUUUAUACUAAAAAAAAAUAGGGAAAGGAGAAGACUACCUUUGUAUAUGUCUUCCUCAUAGAAAGUAGCUACAAAGAAGGAAGAAUGGAAUGUGAGAUACCUGGAAAUUCACAGAAGAAAAAAAUCCAAGAAAGGUACUAAUGGUUUAAAAAUUUUAUCUCCAAAUGCCCAGAAUUGGUCAAAAAAAAAAAAAAAAAAAAAAAAAAAAAGAAAAGAAUUUUUAUAAUAAAAAAAAAAGAUUUGUUAUAGUGAAUAGCCUUCUGGGAUAUAAAAACAAAAUAUAUAAAUAAAAUUGAUUUUCCAAAGUGUUUAAUGAAUUCUUUACUAAAUUAAAAGCAAAAUAAAACAAAGAGGAGCAGAUCCA
Molecule: long non-coding RNA, 1173 nt
Filed under: Monodelphis domestica (gray short-tailed opossum)
Lineage: Eukaryota; Metazoa; Chordata; Mammalia; Didelphimorphia; Didelphidae
Description: lncRNA (ENSMODG00000039554.1)
Source: RNAcentral